GAGUUUGAUCGUGGCUCAGAGUGAACGCUGGCGGUAGGCCUAACACAUGCAAGUCGAACGGCAGCACAGGAGAGCUUGCUCUCUGGGUGGCGAGUGGCGGACGGGUGAGGAAUACAUCGGAAUCUACCUUUUCGUGGGGGAUAACGUAGGGAAACUUACGCUAAUACCGCAUACGACCUUCGGGUGAAAGCAGGGGACCUUCGGGCCUUGCGCGGAUAGAUGAGCCGAUGUCGGAUUAGCUAGUUGGCGGGGUAAAGGCCCACCAAGGCGACGAUCCGUAGCUGGUCUGAGAGGAUGAUCAGCCACACUGGAACUGAGACACGGUCCAGACUCCUACGGGAGGCAGCAGUGGGGAAUAAUUGGACAAUGGGCGCAAGCCUGAUCCAGCCAUACCGCGUGGUGAAGAAGCC
This 410-nucleotide ribosomal RNA is filed under the name uncultured Gammaproteobacteria bacterium. Its description in RNAcentral is "bacterial SSU rRNA". It matches the Rfam family "Bacterial small subunit ribosomal RNA", at positions 9 to 415 of the family's 1533-position model. The record is from RNAcentral. Lineage: Bacteria; Pseudomonadati; Pseudomonadota; Gammaproteobacteria.